UUGAUGGUGGCUUAGUGGUAGAGCAUUAGACUGCAGAUCUAGAGGUCCCGAGUUCGAAACCCGGCUGUUGCG
Molecule: transfer RNA, 72 nt
Filed under: Diabrotica virgifera virgifera (western corn rootworm)
Lineage: Eukaryota; Metazoa; Arthropoda; Insecta; Coleoptera; Chrysomelidae
Rfam family: tRNA
About the family: Transfer RNA (tRNA) molecules are approximately 80 nucleotides in length. Their secondary structure includes four short double-helical elements and three loops (D, anti-codon, and T loops).
Source: Rfam by way of RNAcentral